RNAcentral lists this transfer RNA (55 nucleotides) under Heterakis dispar. Its description in RNAcentral is "tRNA-Ala". Lineage: Eukaryota; Metazoa; Nematoda; Chromadorea; Rhabditida; Heterakidae. The record is from RNAcentral.
GGGUUUUAGUUUAGUUUAAAAUUUAUAUGUUGCAUAUAUAAGAUUAUUGACUCUA